Molecule: long non-coding RNA, 1289 nt
Organism: Aedes albopictus (Asian tiger mosquito)
Lineage: Eukaryota; Metazoa; Arthropoda; Insecta; Diptera; Culicidae
Exons: 4
Source: RefSeq, a predicted model, not a curated record
ACGAUUUAUUUUGGCUAUUCGUAAAAUCUCCGCCUUAUGGAAUACCGCACCAAGCUUCAAGAGCAACCCUGCAACUACUAGUGAAGGUGCGACACGACAACACUAAUUUCUCGUUCUUCAACGCUCUCGAAAUUGAGAAAUCGAACAAAGACCAUCUUUUCUGCACCGUUCAAGCGAAUCGCACUUCAUUCGUUAGCUGCUGUCUUUCUGAGUGGUCGCCAUCGUGACAUCUAAAAUAGCACGUGAGAAAAUAGUUUGCUACAAAGGUGGUUUUGCUCUAGUAAGCUGCUCCUGAAACCACGGUGGUUCCAAAAUUAGAUACAACCUGUCUAAAACACCGGCAUGCUAUCGGCGAAGAUCCUAACAGAUCGAGCAGGUAAUCGCAGGACCAAGAGCUGCUAGAAUCAACCAUCUAUUCUGCCAUCUCCAGGAAAACCGCAAAGAAGACAGCAGCAACGAAGACACCACGCCACCCACUGCAAGCACGAGGGCUACCAUCAGCGAUCGACAAAGCACUCAAGGGCUCUCUACGGAGGGCCCUUUUGUUGAGAUCGUUCUCACAUCUCACCGUGUGCAAAGGAGCGCCACGAAACGGUAGCUCAUCAGCUUCACCAUCACGCACACACACUAUCAGCCACAUCAAAAAGUGCAUCUCACUCUUGGCACUCGCUAGCAGUCGGGUAGGCACGGUGCAUUCAAGUGCAUGAAGCUUGCCUCAAAAUAUCACGCACACUACAUCAAGCCACUUCGCACAGCAAGGUGAGCCGGGCGCGGCUAGGUCGGCCAGACGAGUGCAACCACAAGGAGGAAGAUCAUACGAAGUGUAAGUGAUACGAAAUAGUGACCAACAUCACCAGGGCCGCCGGCGCCCUGUCAGCCGUGUCGAAUAAUCGGUGUCGGCGUAUGCGAAGCAGUAUAUUCGAAGGUAAACAAACGUUCGUCGUGGGAAUCAAUGGAGAUCAUCGAUCAAUCGCCAGUCGGCGAUCUGAAGAAGCACAACCGUGCGUUCUGAAAGCUACGAACACCAUCAUCACCAGCAGUCACCGUUGCGAAUCCCGUUACCAGCAACACCACGACGGAGUCACAGUAUUGGUGGAAGCAAGAGUGGUGUGUCAACCGCUUAUGUAAGGUAGGGGUAGUAUAAGGCCUAUGUGUAUAGAAUAAUACAAACAUAAUGAUGCGUAUUUUUGUUAGUUGCUUCAUUCACACCUCCAUUGAGGGUGAGAUUGCAUGCGAGUAGAGUCAUUUGGGUCAUUUCACUACCGUAUCUUGAGGCUAAUUGAUACCGG